GGAGUCGGUCCGGCGGAGUUUUGCGGGUAUUUGAAUUGUUGAUAAUUAUCCAGUUUGUCUCGAUAAGCGUGAAACUAGAUAUUUUGAUUAUUAUAUUAAUUCUUAUCUUGUAAUAAUUGCAGUGGGACCCGCAUACUAAUGACUGAUUAAAAAGCCCCGUUUUGAUGAUUAUCUUGAAAACCAGUACCGAUUGGACCCCGCUAUAUUAAUAUAAAGCUAUUAAAUACGUAUUUUCAUGUCAUAAACGAUCCAAAGGGGUACCAAUUAUUUGUAAAUAUAAAUAGACUUUUCUAUAGCUGAUUUUCACCCGUAAAAUCAUUUCACCAGUUUCUUUUCACGAAUACCGAGAGAAACCGAGCUGCGUUCUUCGUGUUCUUCGUAAUCAAACGAAGAUUUGAAGGUGUUAUUGGAGUCAGAAUCAAGCGUACGAAUAGUCAAAUCGAAGGUAUCGAAGAGUAGAACCUAUAUCUGCAAUCAAAAACAACAUGAGAUUCAUAGGUAGGGAGUAGUUGAAGUUUUAAAAUUCGAAGUUAUUAAGAUUUAAAUAGUGGAUUUUUGUAAACGUGUUUGUUUGAUUGUUUUGAUGUUUCCAUGUUGUAGUACGUGCUUUUCUCGUCGUUUUGGUAUAUUAUAUGUUGAUUUUUGAGUUCGAUAACAUAUAGAAAAAGGGGUUUGAUUAUCGAAGCUUGUUCUUGAAUGUUCUUGAAGGUGUAUGAAUGUUCUUAAUUGAAAAUUAGGGGUUUUUAAUUCGUUAAUUCUGGGAAGAAUUGAAGGUUACCAGCGUGUUUGUAUGGUUGAGAGGAGUCCGCGUGUGUAAUUCUCGAGGGUGGAGGAGCUCGUUUUCGAGCUAAUCGGAGAAAAUAGCCGCGGCGGGGACGGCGACUUUUCGCCGGCUUUUUCCGGCCGAUUGGCUGAUUUGUUUCGAAAUACAAGCAGUAAAAUAGAUUCUUGAGGUUAUAAAAGUUUAAUCUGGAGGUUUUGGUGUCGAACGGAGGUUUGCAGUGCCGUUUCCGGCGAAGUCGGGUACCGGCGGUGGCAAAUUGCCGUUUGGUACCCAGACUUAUGAAGAUGAUGAAGUUAUGGUAUCGAAGUUUUAAAUCUUACAAACCAACCCCUGAAACUUCUGAAAGUUACACUUUAUACCCUGGCCGAAAACUUUCAAAAGUUUACAAAAUAAACCUUUUGAUUUAAUUUUCAAAAAUUGUUUUAUUUAAUUAUUUUAAAUUCCAAAAAUAGUUUUUAAUUAUUUCUUUAUUCAAAAAUAAAUCUAAAUUAGUUUAUUAAUUAAUUUUAAUUAGUAAUUAAUUAUUUUAAUUGGUCAAUUAAUUUAAAUAUUAAUUGAUUAAUUAUUUUAAUUAAUUAUUAAUUGAUUUUAAUUGAUUAAUUAAUUGGAUUUAAUUAUCCUUUUUGAUUUAAAAAUUCCGAAAAAUAGUUUCGAGCUUUAAAAUAUUUUUCCAAAUUAUUUUCAAGGCUCGAUAAUUGUUUAUGAAUGAUUUCAAGUCCAAUUUCAAGUAUUUGGGACUUGAUUAUUUAUUCGAAAAGUGAUUCUUUUAUCGAUUUUAAUUCCGAAAAAUGUUUAAAAAUUCUGGAAAAUUCCCGAAAAAUCAUUUUUAACCCAAGACUUGAUUUAAUAUCAAUUGGGAUGGGAAACCUUAUGUGUUGUGUGUUGUCUGCUAUUGGUUGGAUGUGUUAUGUGCCGAUAGGAGAGUGAGAAAACUGUUUUGAGCAUAACUUUUGAUCCGUAAGUCGGAAUCAAGUGAAACGAAAGAGAGACAGAAGCUUAUAACGUCUAUUUUAAUAUGAUGUGACUAUAUGGCUGAGUCUAUAAGGUGAAUAAUUGUUGAUAAGUAUGCAUAAUGUGAUAAUAUGUGAUCUAAGUGCUAUCAAGUGAUGAUUAUGUGAAGUACGUGUUAGUUUUGAUAUUGUGAAGUGAUAAAUGAUUCGUAUGAUUGAUAUUGGAUAAGAAUAUAUGGAUUAUAGUUAUUGGAUUUUGUUGGUUGAUUAAUGAUUGAGAUAGGAUAAUAGGUGGAUAGUCUUAUACAUAGACGAGACGAUGUCGGAUUUUCGAUAAGGAUUUAUAUGAUAAUUGAUUGGUGAUAUGUUAUGUGGAAUAUGAUUGACUAUAUGUUAGAGUCAAAGCAUGCUUAUGUGUUACGUGGUAUCUGAUAAGUUUAAAGGGGUAUAUAAGUGGGUAUCGGUAUACGUGAUAUGUAUAUGCGAUAUAUUGUUUAGUGACUAUAGUAUUAUCUUAUUCUCGUAAAGGAUUUGGACGAGACGUGUACGCUCGAAGACGUCAGGAAGUCGAAAUGGUAUUGCAAAGCGAAUAAGGGAUGAAUCGAGUAAGCGAAGCGAAGAUGUACGGUAGAUAGAGUAUAGCCAGAGAUGGUCUAGAGACUAUGAGAUGCAUAGAUUGUGAAAGUGGAAAGAUGAGAUUGAGAUGUGAGACUGGAGUCAGAUUUAAGGCAAGUAUCCUAAACCUUUCUCUUGGAUAUAUUGCAAAUAUUCUGAUCCAUUCCUUUGGUAUAUGUUUCAAGUAUUCAUACCUUUCUUUUCAAUGUUCGAAAGUGCGAGUAUUCUGACCCAUUCUUUCUAAUCUUCAAGUUUCUAAAGAAUUUCCGUUUUACAAAUUAAUUCGAAGUUCAGAUUGUCAUUGAAGCAUGUGUUGCUCAGUGAUAGUUAGAGCUUUGAAUGAAUUGGGAUCUUCUUGAUUAUUCAACCCGCCAUUGUCAUGCUGGUUUAGCAGGCUAAAUUCAGUUGCUUAGCCGAUAAUGGAGGAUACUGAAUAGUUGAGGAUUUCCUGAACUGUGAUUUAUGAAAUGAUGGAUCAUGAUUUAUGAAUAGAUUAUUAUCAAAGUUUGAAUUGGAAUUAUUCUGUUGUUGAUGAUAUUUAUGAUGAUGUUCUGUUAAUUUACAUUGGCUUCUUGAAUUGAAUUAGAGAAUUGGAUUAUUGUUUUUAUAUAAACCUGUGGACCAGAUUCGUGGUCAUGUUAGGCCAAUGAGUGCCUUGGAUCCAGUGAUAGAGCAUGGCGGGGCCUGCUCGGGGUUAGUGCGGAACUGAUCAGCUGCCUAACCUUGGUUUUAAUUAAAAUGUGAUAGUCCAAUUCAAUAAUUCUUUGGAAAGAUUGAAUUUCUCAGUUUAAAUGCUGCAAGGUAUUGUAAAUCAUUCUAUACAAUACCAUGAACUCAUGAACUCAUGUUGAAUCCUUUUAUAUCUUGAACUCGUGAACUUCUAUUAUAUCAUUUCAGAACUAUCAUUGUUUAUUAUUACUUGCUGAGCAUUGUUGCUCACCCUUGCUAUUCCUUUCUAACCAUUUCAGAAAGGCUUAAAGAUGAGAUGAUUGAUUGAGAUUGUGAGUAAGGCUAAUGCUAGGCGAGGAGACAGAGUUGAGGAUCCAGUGGUCGAGGAGUGUUCAGGAAAGUUGAUGAGGUUGGUGCAAGCUGGAAUAGUUGACAGUGAUUCUUCUUAUCGAAGAUGAUCUGAUUUGGUAAGAGAUGUUGUGUAAUAAUAGUGGUAGAUUCUAAUUUCAAUACUGUAACCUGGAUGCGAUCCUGUUGCUUUUAGGGGGUUUAAAUGUUCUCUUUCGAAUCAUUUAUUAAAGUUUAAAUGUUCUCUUGAAAUUCUCCUAUUAUGGCUUUCAAGUUUGAAAUUCAGGUUUUGAAAUCAUUCGAUUUAUGUUCUCAUUCAAAUCUUUUAUUAAAUGUUUUCAGGUUUUAAAUUCUUUGAUUUCAUUAUAAAAAAAAAAAAAAAUUUAGGUUUUCGAAAGUGUUUUAAAAAGGUUUUUAUGUGGUGACGUCAGAAUCCAGGCCCCCGGAUUCCUGGACCGUCACAGUUGGUAUCAGAGCCACAGGUUAUAAGUAUUUGAAAUUAGAAUAUAGAUCAUAGUUAUAGGUUUUCUAGAGAAGAAUAUUGUGUGACCUCGUACAGAGGUAUUAUUAGACUAUUUAGAAAUAGUCUAGAGAUGUGAUAGAGGUAUAGAAUCUAGUUAGACGAUCAAGUUGAGUGUAUAAGGUUAGAGAGAUUUUGAUUCCUAAGUUAGACAUAUGAUUUCUAGUAUGUUGACUCAUUGAGAUGUUGAAUUGUGAGGAAGGUCAAGAUUAGACCUAGAUAGAAGAGUUUGAUAGUGAAUGAUUGAGUUAAGAAUGGUGAAGAUGCAGAGUUCAGAGUAUUCUGACUAUACUGCAUAGUUGAGAAUGGUCUAUGGUAUUGAUUUGAGAAUGAUAAAGAUGCAUGGUUCAUAGUAUGUUGACCAUGUCAGAUGUUUGGAAGAAGUAUAUUGUUUUUGUGAGAUAUUGAAGAAGGAGUGUAAGAUAUGAGUUAUGUUGGAUUAGAAGGGGGAUUUGUAGAUAGAGGUUGAUAGAUGAGAAGUGAAUGAUAAAAAGUAUGUGGAAUUGAGUGUAGUUAUUAGGGGAGAUGUCGGUGAGUAAUUUAGAACGUUAAUCCUCGACGACAACGCUUUAAGCUAAUCGGGACUUCAAACGACAUCAAGGUGGGCCCAUAACCCACAAGUUGAUGAUCCAGACAAUCGAAGAUACGCUACGUGUUGUGCUAUGGAAUUCAAAGGCAACUGGAUGAAACAUGAGAACGUGAACUAUUUGGGCCAGACUUAUUACGAACUAUAACGUCUACGAUGACAUCUUACGAGGCUAUUACGAGUCAACAUCGAUUGAUUAUCAAGAACGUUGAAAAGAAGACAUACGACGGACAAUGAUUUAUUGAAGCAGAGCGAAAAUCUGAGAAGACCUGGGCAAUACCUCUCUUCAACUAAAAGUUCUUUUGAUUCUUUUCUCAUUAGUGAGAUAUUAUCAUGAUAUCCUUUCGACCAAAGUUUCGAUAAAGGAGAUUUUCAAUUUCUCAAAUUCUAAGAUGAUAAUGAUAUUGAUUAUUGGUGUGAGUUAGUAUUGAAUCGGUGUAUGAUAAAGACGUGUUUAUGAAGAGACAGUGGAAUUCCUUGAUAUUAUUUGAUAUUCUUUGAUAUCCUUUGAUAUUCAUCCAUAUUCUUUGAUGUCCCUUAAUAUUCGUCGAUAUUCUUUGACACUCCUUGAUAUUCCUUGAUAUCUUUUUGAUAUUCCUUAAUAUAUUCCUCGAUAAUCCUUAACAUUCCUUGAUGCUCCUUGAGAUUUCUUGGAUUCUUUCCAUCUGAUUGGGAUGAACAACCCUAUGAAUAGGGGACACAAGGUAUACCUGUCUGUGUGAUAGGAGUUGGAUGGGACGCCAUCACUUGUGUGUGUUGUGAUUACAAGAAGGUUAACAACCUUUAGUAGUGUCUAAUAUGGACACGCAACAUUAAGUUCAUUUGAUCGUAUUGAUCUCCCAGUCACUCUUGUAUUCCAAUGUGACCUAUUUUGAAAAUAUCUUGUUCCUCCGAAAUUCCCAAAGAUUGAUUCUUGGGAAAUGAAGUUUGCAAUUGUGAAGGUGUUGAUUUUCCUAUUUCUUUAACUUUGAAGGUAUGCCAAAGUUGAUCAAAGGCGGAUGAGCAUGUGAUAUUAUGAAGCGUGUACCACGAUCUUAUAAAUGAUACGUUUUAGUUUCUUCGGAGGAUUCCGAGGACGGAAUCCUUAUAAGGGGGGUAGAAUGUAAUAUCCCAUAUUUUUAAAUUUAGAUUUGAUUGUUAUAAAUCUAUCUGUCUAAAUAUUAUUGUUGGCUUUAGUUGAAAAGUGAAUUGAUUAUGUGAAUAGUUUUAUAUGAUUAUACUUGUUUUGUGGAUUAAUAUGGAUUUUACAAAUAUUGCGUCCUCCUUCUUUCUCUGAUUCCGAGGACGGAAUCCCUAUAAGGAGGGUAGAUUGUAAUAACCCGGAUUUUAAAAAUAUCUUUAUUAAUAUUAUAAAUGAUUUUCUUAAAAAGUAAGGAAUAAGAUUUAAUAUUUUAUUCCAGUUUAAGGAGUUUUCAAGGUUUUAUAUUUAAACCCCGGGUUAUUGUGUUAUUGAUAAAUAAUUGUAUUUUCAAAAGUGAUUUUCAUAUAUUGUUUCGAAAAUUCUGUAUGAAUAUUAUGUGAAUAUAUGUGUGAUGUGAGUAAGUGGUAUUGGUGGAUUUGUUGGUUAAUUAAUUAUGGUUAAUUAUGAGUAUUAUAUGAUUAAUAUAUGAAUUUUUGUGAAUUUUAUAUUAUCUGGUUUAUUGCGUUAACUGCUCAUAUGUGUUCGUAUUUGAGAGAUUUCAAUUUCUAUAUGCUCAGGAGAAAAUAUAGUUUAUUUGGAUAUUUUCAUAUCGAUUUAUGGAAUGUUAGAUGAUUUUAUAAUCGAUUUACGGAUUUAAUUGCGUAUAUUUAUAUUUAUUUAUUAAUUAUUUGACUUCCGUAAAACCGUCCACUCGUAACGAGGUAGCAAAUUUUCUUCCCGGAAGUUUCAACAAAACUGACCUUUAGCCUAAUUUGAAUAUUCCGGACACUUUUCGUGUUUUGACUUUUUCGAUCCGGAGUACGGUUUUCCCCGGAGUCGGUCCGGCGGAGUUUUUCGGGUAUUUUAAUUGUUGAUAAUUAUCCAGUUUGUCUCGAUAAGCGUGAAACGAGAUAUUUUGAUUAUUAUAUUCAUCCUUAUCUUGUAAUAAUUGCAAUGGGACCCGCAGACCAAUAAUUGAGUUAAAAAGCCCCGUUUUGAUGAUUAUCUCGAAAACCAGUACCGAUUGGACCCCGCUUUAUUAAUAUAAAGCUAUUAAAUACGUAUUUUCAUGUCAUAAACGAUCCAAAGGGGUACCAAUUAUUUGUAAAUAUAAAUAGACCUUUCUAGAGCUUAUUUUCACCCGUAAAAUCAUUUCACCAGUUUCUCUGCACGAAUACCGAGAGAAACCGAGCGGUGUUCUUCGUGUUCUUCAUAAUCAAACGAAGAUUUGAAGGUGUUAUUGGAGUCAGAAUCAAGCGUGCGAAUAGUCAAAUCGAAGAUAUCGAAGAGUAGAACCCAAAUCAAUCAUCAAAAACAACAUGAGAUUCACAGGUAGGGAGUAAUUGAAGUUUUAAAAUUCGAAUUAUUAUGAUUUAAAUAGUGAAUUUUUGCAAACGUGUUUGUUUGAUUGUUUGGAUGAUUCCAUGUUGUAGAACGUGUUUUUCUCGUCGUUUUGGUAUAUUAUAUGUUGAAUUUUGAGUUCGGAAACAUAUAGAAAAGUCCGUUUGAUUAUGUGGUUGUGUUCUUGAGUGUUCUUGAACUUUCGCCGGAAAGUUAUGAUUUUUGGUCGGAAAAUCGUUCUGUAGAGUAUGAAUUGUUUCUAAAGUCAUGUAUAAGAUCCUGGUGAUGUGUAGAGUCGAUUUAUAGGUUUGAUUUCAGUGUGGGAUAAGGAUUUGGGGCUCGCCGGAUAGUGGUGGCGGCGGUUUUUGACGGAUUUUUCCGGCCAGUUGGCUGCGUUUUUGGUGAAAACAAGGUGCUACAAUGAUUCCUGGUAUAAUAUACUCGUGAUCUGGAGAGUUUUGAAUGUUUCUGGGCUUGGGAAAGGUGGUGCCGGCAUCGUUCCGGCGGAUCUGGGGCCGGCAGUGGCAAAUUGCCAUUUGACCCCCAGAGUUUGGAAGAUGAUGAAGAGGUGACACUGUAGUUUCUGUUUUGACGGUUCAGCCCCUGUAACUUUUGAAAGUUACACUUUAAACCCUGUCAGAAAACUUUCAAAACUAUACACUUUAAACCUUUUGAUUUUAAUUUUCAAAAAUUGUUUUAUUUAAUUAUUUUAAAUUCCAAAAAUAGUUUUUAAUUAUUUCUUUAUUCAAAAAUAAAUCUAAAUUAGUUUGUUAAUUAAUUUUAAUUAGUAAUUAAUUAUUUUAAUUAGUCAAUUAAUUUAAAUAUUAAUUGAUUAAUUAUUUUAAUUAAUUAUUAAUUGAUUUUAAUUGAUUAAUUAAUUGGAUUUAAUUAAUCCUUUUUGAUUUAAAAAUUCCGAAAAAUAGUUUCGAGCUUUAAAAUAUUUUUCCAAAUUAUUUUCAAGGCUCGAUAAUUGUUUAUGAAUGAUUUCAAGUCCAAUUUCAAGUAUUUGGGACUUGAUUAUUUAUCCGAAAAGUGAUUCUUUUAUCGAUUUUAAUUCCGAAAAAUGUUUAAAAAUUCCAGAAAAUUCCCGAAAAAUCAUUUUUAACCCAAGACUUGAUUUAAUAUCAAUUGGGAUGGGAAACCUUAUGUGUUGUGUGUUGUCUGCUAUUGGUUGGAUGUGUUAUGUGCCGAUAGGAGAGUGAGAAAACUGUUUUGAGCAUAACUUUUGAUCCGUAAGUCGGAAUCAAGUGAAACGAAAGAGAGACAGAAGCUUAUAACGUCUAUUUUAAUAUGAUGUGACUAUAUGGCUGAGUCUAUAAGGUGAAUAAUUGUUGAUAAGUAUGCAUAAUGUGAUAAUAUGUGAUCUAAGUGCUAUCAAGUGAUGAUUAUGUGAAGUACGUGUUAGUUUUGAUAUUGUGAAGUGAUAAAUGAUUCGUAUGAUUGAUAUUGGAUAAGAAUAUAUGGAUUAUAGUUAUUGGAUUUUGUUGGUUGAUUAAUGAUUGAGAUAGGAUAACAGGUGGAUAGUCUUAUACAUAGACGAGACGAUGUCGGAUUUUCGAUAAGGAUUUAUAUGAUAAUUGAUUGGUGAUAUGUUAUGUGGAAUAUGAUUGACUAUAUGUUAGAGUCAAAGCAUGCUUAUGUGUUACGUGGUAUCUGAUAAGUUUAAAGGGGUAUAUAAGUGGGUAUCGAUAUACGUGAUAUGUAUAUGCGAUAUAUUGUUUAGUGACUAUAGUAUUAUCUUAUUCUCGUAAAGGAUUUGGACGAGACGUGUACGCUCGAAGACGUCAGAAAGUCGGAAUGGUAUUGCAAAGCGAAUAAGGGAUGAAUCGAGUAAGCGAA
RNAcentral lists this long non-coding RNA (8772 nucleotides) under Daucus carota (carrot). RNAcentral's name for it is "long non-coding RNA (DCAR_LNC007630)". The record is from RNAcentral. Lineage: Eukaryota; Viridiplantae; Streptophyta; Magnoliopsida; Apiales; Apiaceae.